This 73-nucleotide transfer RNA is filed under the name Gemmatimonas sp. SG8_17. RNAcentral's name for it is "tRNA-Pro". It matches the Rfam family "tRNA". From Rfam's summary of the family: Transfer RNA (tRNA) molecules are approximately 80 nucleotides in length. Their secondary structure includes four short double-helical elements and three loops (D, anti-codon, and T loops). Lineage: Bacteria; Pseudomonadati; Gemmatimonadota; Gemmatimonadia; Gemmatimonadales; Gemmatimonadaceae. The record is from RNAcentral.
CUGGAGCUGGCGCAAUCGGUAGCGUUCCUGCUUUGGAAGCAGGCGGUUCCGGGUUCAAGUCCCGGGUUCCAGA